GGGCGCUGGAGGAGAACCGAGCCGGGGAAGGCAGCCGCUCGCUCCGCUGCUGCCUGGCGGAGCCUAGCACGGGCUGAGUCUCAAACCCCGCGUUGUGUGUGCCCUGCGCUGCCAGGCGCGAAUCCGGUCAGCUGGAAAGACUUCUGGGGACCCGGAGCGGAAGGACAGUUACUAAAAUGGAACCAUAACUCGGAGGGCAAUGCAUUCCUUUUCUCUACCACCAGAUGCUCAUAAUAGAACUAUUGCUCACAAGGAGGAUGCUUGUUAUUUUGUAUGUGAUCACCACAAAACAGAUGGAGAGUGAUUAUAUGUUCUAAGUCCUGUGACUGCUUUAAAGCAAAUAAAAGUGAGCCUGUAUUUUCUGGGUUUUGAUUAGUAAACAAUGAUCACUCAUAAUGAGUAAGAUAUAGCUUCAGAAAGGUGUGAUUAUUGUGGAUUUAAGAUGACAUGAAGGAAGCUAGGCUUAUUUAGUCCUGUAGACACAUUUUGGUAGAAAUAAGUGGCCCACGUUAGGUUUAUAGUGAAGUUAGUUAUGUGCCCAAAAAUUAUGGUGUAAAUUGGAACUUAUUAACUUUCUAUUUAUAAGGUACUGGAGGUAGAAAGGGAAGAAACGGCACAGUUCCUGAUAUUCAGGAACACAGGAAAAACAUUAACCCUCUGAUAUUUUGCCAGGCUUCUAAGAACAUAGGCACUUGAUCUACAGUUAGCCAAUAGGUGACCGUUACACAGGAAUUUAUAGUGACAGCCAGCUGGGGGGUAAACAAGUACUUUAGUGUGCUUGGCCUGCUAUACAAAAUAUUAGAGGUUUAUAAAGAAUAGAUAUAUUGCCUUCACUGUCUUUUUCUAGGAUCUUGUUUAGAAUUGCUUAUAGUGCUGGUUUGGUAUUCAUGUAGUUUCUCAGGUGUUCUUUGUCAUGGAAGUGUUUUAUUUCCCCCUCCGUUUUGAAAGAGAGUUUUGCUGGAUACAUCAGUCUAGGUUGGAGGUUGUUCUCUUUUAGUACUUGAAAUAUCUCAUUCCAGGCUCUCCUUGCCCCAAGGGUUUGUGUUGAAAAGUCUGCUGUGAUUCUGAUGGGCUUUCCUUUGUAUGUGAUUUGUUUCUUUUCUCUUACUGCUUGUAGUAUUUUGUUCUUCUGUUGGGUUUCUGGGAUCUUGAUUAUUAUAUGUCUAGGUGUAGAUUUUUUU
RNAcentral lists this long non-coding RNA (1181 nucleotides) under Fukomys damarensis (Damara mole-rat). Its description in RNAcentral is "lncRNA (ENSFDAG00000023296.1)". Lineage: Eukaryota; Metazoa; Chordata; Mammalia; Rodentia; Bathyergidae. The record is from RNAcentral.